UCCUUCACAACCCUGGGAGACGUCGCCAUCCACACUUCAUGGAUGACGGGAAUGGGUCCCAGCGCCAACAAACCUGGUGCAAGGCCAGGGGAUGAGCCGGGGCUUCAGAUCCCGUCUCUCCCAGUGGCCAUCACAGUCAACUGACCCAGUCAACCCGUCUGUUCAAGGAAUUAGUGGGAAGAUGAAAAGGCUUGGCUUCUCCUCUCUCCUGCUAUUUUGGAGUAUCUGUCCCGAGGAGAUGAACUCUGGCUGUUCAGCUGCCUCACACCUACAGG
Long non-coding RNA from Eubalaena glacialis (North Atlantic right whale), 275 nucleotides. RefSeq lists it as uncharacterized. Lineage: Eukaryota; Metazoa; Chordata; Mammalia; Artiodactyla; Balaenidae. The record is from RefSeq and is a predicted model, not a curated record. The transcript is spliced from 3 exons.